GCUUGUCUCAAAGAUUAAGCCAUGCAUGUCUCAGUACAGCCUAGACAAAGUGAAACCGCAAACAGCUCAUUAAAUCAGUUGCAACUUCCUUGCUCUCGAGUUUCUUAAAUGGAUAACUGUGGUAAAUCUAGAGCUAAUACAUGAAAACUUGUCCUGCCGGCAACGGUAGGUCGCAUUUUAUUGGACCCAGAUCAUAAGCAGCUUUUCGGAGCGGCUUUUACAUCAGAGGUGACUCUAGAUAACAUUCAGCUAUCAUUCAAGUCCUCUUUGAGCGACGGUGAAGUGUAAUUCAGACUUCUGCCUUAUCAACUAAUGUUGGUAGGCGACGGGACUACCAAGGUGGUCACGAGUAACGGGGAAUAUGGGUUUUAUUCCGGAGAAGGAGCCUGAGAAACGGCUACUACAUCUAAGGAAGGCAGCAGG
This 423-nucleotide ribosomal RNA is filed under the name uncultured fungus. RNAcentral describes it as "partial small subunit ribosomal RNA". It matches the Rfam family "Eukaryotic small subunit ribosomal RNA", at positions 30 to 432 of the family's 1831-position model. Lineage: Eukaryota; Fungi. The record is from RNAcentral.